This 1434-nucleotide ribosomal RNA is filed under the name uncultured organism. Its description in RNAcentral is "16S ribosomal RNA". It matches the Rfam family "Bacterial small subunit ribosomal RNA". The record is from RNAcentral.
CGAACGCUGGCGGCGUGCUUAACACAUGCAAGUCGAACGGACAGGCCCUGCUUUUGUGGGGUGCUCGAGUGGCGAACGGGUGAGUAACACGUGAGUAACCUGCCCUUGACUUUGGGAUAACUUCAGGAAACUGGGGCUAAUACCGGAUAGGAGCUCCUGCUGCAUGGUGGGGGUUGGAAAGUUUCGGCGGUUGGGGAUGGACUCGCGGCUUAUCAGCUUGUUGGUGGGGUAGUGGCUUACCAAGGCUUUGACGGGUAGCCGGCCUGAGAGGGUGACCGGCCACAUGGGGACUGAGAUACGGCCCAGACUCCUACGGGAGGCAGCAGUGGGGAAUAUUGCACAAUGGGCGGAAGCCUGAUGCAGCAACGCCGCGUGCGGGAUGACGGCCUUCGGGUUGUAAACCGCUUUCGCCUGUGACGAAGCGUGAGUGACGGUAAUGGGUAAAGAAGCACCGGCUAACUACGUGCCAGUAGCCGCGGUGAUACGUAGGGUGCGAGCGUUGUCCGGAUUUAUUGGGCGUAAAGGGCUCGUAGGUGGUUGAUCGCGUCGGAAGUGUAAUCUUGGGGCUUAACCCUGAGCGUGCUUUCGAUACGGGUUGACUUGAGGAAGGUAGGGGAGAAUGGAAUUCCUGGUGGAGCGGUGGAAUGCGCAGAUAUCAGGAGGAACACCAGUGGCGAAGGCGGUUCUCUGGGCCUUUCCUGACGCUGAGGAGCGAAAGCGUGGGGAGCGAACAGGCUUAGAUACCCUGGUAGUCCACGCUGUAAACGGUGGGUACUAGGUGUGGGGUCCAUUCCACGGGUUCCGUGCCGUAGCUAACGCUUUAAGUACCCCGCCUGGGGAGUACGGCCGCAAGGCUAAAACUCAAAGGAAUUGACGGGGCCCCGCACAAGCGGCGGAGCAUGCGGAUUAAUUCGAUGCAACGCGUAGAACCUUACCUGGGUUUGACAUGGAUCGGGAGUGCUCAGAGAUGGGUGUGCCUCUUUUGGGGUCGGUUCACAGGUGGUGCAUGGCUGUCGUCAGCUCGCGUCGUGAGAUGUUGGGUUAAGUCCCGCAACGAGCGCAACCCUUGUUCACUGUUGCCAGCACGUUAUGGUGGGGACUCAGUGGAGACCGCCGGGGUCAACUCGGAGGAAGGUGGGGAUGACGUCAAGUCAUCAUGCCCCUUAUGUCCAGGGCUUCACGCAUGCUACAAUGGCUGGUACAGAGAGUGGCGAGCCUGUGAGGGUGAGCGAAUCUCGGAAAGCCGGUCUCAGUUCGGAUUGGGGUCUGCAACUCGACCUCAUGAAGUCGGAGUCGCUAGUAAUCGCAGAUCAGCAACGCUGCGGUGAAUACGUUCCCGGGGCUUGUACACACCGCCCGUCAAGUCAUGAAAGUUGGUAACACCCGAAGCCGGUGGCCUAACCGUUGUGGGGGAGCCGUCGAAGGUGGGACUGG